AAGCGGGAAGAGCUCAAGAUUUAUAAUCUGGCACCUUCGGUGUCCGAGUUGUAAUCUCUAGAAAUGUUUUCCGCGUUGGACCGCACACAAGUCUGUUGGAAUACAGCGGCAUAGUGGUGAGACCCCCGUAUAUGGUGCGGACGCCCAGCGCUUUGUGAUACAUUUUCGAAGAGUCGAGUUGUUUGGGAAUGCAGCUCAAAUUGGGUGGUAAAUUCCAUCUAAAGCUAAAUAUUGGCGAGAGACCGAUAGCGAACAAGUACCGUGAGGGAAAGAUGAAAAGCACUUUGGAAAGAGAGUUAACAGUACGUGAAAUUGUUGGAAGGGAAACGCUUGAAGUCAGACUUGCUUGCCGAGCAAUCGGUUUGCAGGCCAGCAUCAGUUUUCCGGGAUGGAUAAUGGUAGAGAGAAGGUAGCAGUUUCGGCUGUGUUAUAGCUCUCUGCUGGAUACAUCUUGGGGGACUGAGAACGCAGUGUGCCUUUGGCGGGGGUUUCGAACUCUUCACACUUAGGAUGCUUGUGGAAUGGCUUUAAACGAGCCGUCUUGAAAC
This 548-nucleotide ribosomal RNA is filed under the name Rhodotorula mucilaginosa. Its description in RNAcentral is "eukaryotic LSU rRNA". It matches the Rfam family "Eukaryotic large subunit ribosomal RNA", at positions 96 to 660 of the family's 3401-position model. The record is from RNAcentral. Lineage: Eukaryota; Fungi; Basidiomycota; Microbotryomycetes; Sporidiobolales; Sporidiobolaceae.